Molecule: long non-coding RNA, 1110 nt
Filed under: Carassius auratus (goldfish)
Lineage: Eukaryota; Metazoa; Chordata; Actinopteri; Cypriniformes; Cyprinidae
Description: lncRNA (ENSCARG00000041357.1)
Source: RNAcentral
UGAUAAAUAUUUACUUUACAUACAUUAUACAGAUUAUUUCAGUCUCAACAUUAAUUAUAAACACCUGUUUUAUUUUCUUCACAGUUGCCUGUCUUGGUGGAACUGUUCUCCAGACGCCUGAUGAUCUACUGAAGAAACGAGAUGAAUCUGCUGUGAUCACUUGUACUCACAAGAUACCGAGCUAUGACCGAAUACUGUGGUACAAACAAAGUCAGGACUCAUUGGGCCUAAAGUUGAUGGGAUACCUUAUUGCUGUGUCUAAGAAUAAAGAGCCUGAAUUUGAAAACAAGAUCAACUUGGAAGGAAAUGGAAGAAAUAAAGGCAUUCUGACUCUCAGCAACCUCUCACCGACUGACAGUGCAGUGUAUUUCUGUGCAGCAUAUUACACAGUGCUCAGAGUCACCUCUGUCUGAUACAAAAACCUCUUUUAAACUGCUUAUACUUCAAAAGCGUAUAUUUUAUCAUGUUCAUCUCAACAUCUGUGGGUUUUGAUUCCGUGCCAAUACUAAACACAACACACCUGCACGCUUAAAGUGUUGCUUAAUAUCUUGUAGUAUAUGGUCAAUUCGGUUCACAUCCCAACUUCUUAUAGGCAGAAACUUCUUUCUUAAAUUCAGAAUUUUGCCCCACCCUGAGAUCACCAUGAUGUCAUGAACUUACAUCCUGUAUUAUCAACUAAAAUUUGAAUCCUCACAGAAGAUUGUAAUUUAACCUAGCCAGCCUCAAUUUAACAAGAUGAGGAACAUCAUUCUGUUGAUUCUGAUGCUGCACUGCGGCCAAGCCAGCAUUCUUGGUAAAAGUGUUGUCCAGACUCCUUCUGAUCUCCUGAAGAAAGAAAAUGAAGUUGCCGAGAUCAAAUGUACAAACAAUGUCCAAAACUAUGAUGUCACACAAUGGUACAAGCAAAGCCAGAUCACCAAGGACCUUCAGUUCAUGGGAUACCUGAAUAUUAAACAAGUGGUCAAGGAGAAUAAAUUUAAUGACAAGAUCAAACUGGAUGGAGAUGGAAGAAAUAAUGUCACUCUGACUAUCAACACGCUCACAGUGAAUGACAGUGCAGUGUAUUUCUGUGCAGCGUAUUACACAGUGCUCAGAGUCACUUCUGUCUGA